Molecule: ribosomal RNA, 375 nt
Filed under: uncultured bacterium
Lineage: Bacteria
Description: bacterial SSU rRNA
Rfam family: Bacterial small subunit ribosomal RNA
Source: RNAcentral
AUUGAACGCUGGCGGCAUGCCUUACACAUGCAAGUCGAACGGCAGCACGGGAGCAAUCCUGGUGGCGAGUGGCGAACGGGUGAGUAAUAUAUCGGAACGUGCCCAGUCGUGGGGGAUAACGUAGCGAAAGCUACGCUAAUACCGCAUACGAUCUAUGGAUGAAAGCGGGGGAUCGCAAGACCUCGCGCGAUUGGAGCGGCCGAUAUCAGAUUAGGUAGUUGGUGAGGUAAAGGCUCACCAAGCCGACGAUCUGUAGCUGGUCUGAGAGGACGACCAGCCACACUGGGACUGAGACACGGCCCAGACUCCUACGGGAGGCAGCAGUGGGGGAAUUUUUGGGACAAUGGGCGCAAGCCUGAUCCAGCAAUGCCGCGU